UACGAAGGGGGCUAGCGUUGUUCGGAAUUACUGGGCGUAAAGCGCACGUAGGCGGACUAUUAAGUCAGGGGUGAAAUCCCGGGGCUCAACCCCGGAACUGCCUUUGAUACUGGUAGUCUCGAGUCCGGAAGAGGUGAGUGGAAUUCCGAGUGUAGAGGUGAAAUUCGUAGAUAUUCGGAGGAACACCAGUAGCGAAGGCGGCUCACUGGUCCGGUACUGACGCUGAGGUGCGAAAGCGUGGGGAGCAAACAGG
RNAcentral lists this ribosomal RNA (253 nucleotides) under uncultured bacterium. RNAcentral's name for it is "partial 16S ribosomal RNA". It matches the Rfam family "Bacterial small subunit ribosomal RNA", at positions 524 to 776 of the family's 1533-position model. The record is from RNAcentral.